GACGAACGCUGGCGGCGUGCUUAACACAUGCAAGUCGAACGACAGCAUUCUCUUCGGGGGGUGUAUGGAGUGGCGAACGGGUGAGCAACACGUGAGUAACCUGCCCUUUUCUUUGGAAUAAGCCUGGGAAACUGGGUCUAAUGCCGAAUAUUCACUUUUUCCCGCAUGGGUUUGGUGGAAAGAUUUUUUGGUGGGGGAUGGGCUCGCGGCCUAUCAGCUUGUUGGUGGGGUGAUGGCCUACCAAGGCGACGACGGGUAGCCGGCCUGAGAGGGCGACCGGCCACACUGGGACUGAGACACGGCCCAGACUCCUACGGGAGGCAGCAGUGGGGAAUCUUGCGCAAUGGGCGAAAGCCUGACGCAGCGACGCCGCGUGAGGGAUGACGGCCUGGU
Molecule: ribosomal RNA, 393 nt
Filed under: uncultured bacterium
Lineage: Bacteria
Description: bacterial SSU rRNA
Rfam family: Bacterial small subunit ribosomal RNA
Source: RNAcentral